Peromyscus eremicus (cactus mouse) is the source of this 547-nucleotide long non-coding RNA. RefSeq lists it as uncharacterized. The transcript is spliced from 4 exons. Lineage: Eukaryota; Metazoa; Chordata; Mammalia; Rodentia; Cricetidae. The record is from RefSeq and is a predicted model, not a curated record.
GUCUCUUCACAGCAAUAGAACAGUAACUAAGAGAGUGAUGUCAUAAUUCUCUGAUCCUUCUUCUAGGUUUCCAUUCUCCCAGGUCACAGAAUCUUGUUGUUUUUUAACAGACCUAAGAAAACUUGGAAAAAGAAGGAGAGACAUAUUGGCCCUGGCUCAAGUACCUACCCAUUCCCUAAAUUCUUAAAGUGUUGUGGCGGAGUCGUGAGACCUCAAGCAAGACCACCACAGAGCCUAUAUCUGAAGCAAAACACAAAGGGGUUUAUUGAUAACAAGCAAAUCUGGGCUUGGUCCAUGUCCAACAUCCUACACAGCGGGUGGAGGAGGAUGGCCCUGAGCUCUCAGGCUGCCAGUGCCUCGGUGUCCAAAGCUGAAAAGGAUGUCCUGAGGACAGUCCAGGUAACCUCUAGGAACUGCUUGAAGAUGAGAGGCGCACAGACUGACUGGCUGCUCCGCAUUACUUCCCCUGGGAUCAUUCUGCUGUUUCCAGCAAGCUUGAGAUAAUCUCUAUGUGGUGAAAAAUCUUCCUGAAAUUUAAAGUAUAAGG